This 450-nucleotide ribosomal RNA is filed under the name uncultured bacterium. RNAcentral describes it as "bacterial SSU rRNA". It matches the Rfam family "Bacterial small subunit ribosomal RNA", at positions 355 to 796 of the family's 1533-position model. The record is from RNAcentral.
UGGGGAAUCUUGCGCAAUGGACGAAAGUCUGACGCAGCGACGCCGCGUGGGCGACGAAGGCCUUCGGGUUGUAAAGCCCUGUGGGGAGGGACGAACACUGAUUGUUCAAAUAGGCCAGUCAGCUGACGGUACCUCCUUAGCAAGCACCGGCUAACUCUGUGCCAGCAGCCGCGGUAAGACAGAGGGUGCAAACGUUGCUCGGAAUUACUGGGCGUAAAGCGCGUGUAGGUGGUCACGCAAGUCAGGUGUGAAAGCCCAGGGCUCAACCCUGGAAGUGCACAUGAUACUACGUGGCUGGAGUACUGAAGAGGAGAGCGGAAUUCCCGGUGUAGAGGUGAAAUUCGUAGAUAUCGGGAGGAACACCAGUGGCGAAGGCGGCUCUCUGGGCAGAUACUGACACUGAGACGCGAAAGCGUGGGUAGCAAACAGGAUUAGAUACCCCCGUAGUCC